GGGGGCGUAGUUCAACGGCAGAAUAUGGCUCUCCAAAAGCCUAGAUGAGGGUUCAAUUCCUUCCGCCCCUGCAA
RNAcentral lists this transfer RNA (74 nucleotides) under Candidatus Roizmanbacteria bacterium CG06_land_8_20_14_3_00_34_14. RNAcentral's name for it is "tRNA-Trp". It matches the Rfam family "tRNA". From Rfam's summary of the family: Transfer RNA (tRNA) molecules are approximately 80 nucleotides in length. Their secondary structure includes four short double-helical elements and three loops (D, anti-codon, and T loops). The record is from RNAcentral. RNAcentral also lists the same sequence under 1 other name. Lineage: Bacteria; Candidatus Roizmaniibacteriota.